UCUCCGAAGACAUCUAGCCAUCAAGUGAUGAGACCUAUAUGAUGCUGAAACCUGAAAAAUGAUUAGCUUCAAACAAUGAAAUGUUCUCUCCCUUCAAAAAAGGUCAACUUUCAUCUCCAAAGACAUCUAGCCAUCAGGUGAUGAGACAUAAUGAUGCUAAGACACACCUGAAAAAUGAUUAGCUUCAAACUUCGACGUAGAGUGUCUGGUAAAUGAACCGCUCUCUAUUCCUUAAAAAAGGUCGACUUUCAUCUCCGAAGACAUCUAGCAAUCAAGUGGUGAGGCCUAAUGACGCAGAGACCAGAACAAUGAUCAGCUUCAAACAUCGACGUUCUUUCCCAUCAACUGUUCUUUCCCUUAAUAAAAGGUGUGCCAUCUGUUGAUGAUACCAAGCUGUCAACGAGAAGGGGAUUUCACCAGUCUACCAAUCAGCAAUUUACUAGGUGUGUGAGGUUUACUACGGAACAGAGGUAUAUUCAAAACCUGUGGGUUUCAUCACCCAUGUUUUACACUAACAUCAAAAAGUGGGCUGUUUUUGCAGCACUAUACAAGCGCCACCCCUACGCCACAUGCCACAACAUUCUGGGGACUUCAUGCAGGCACCAGCCUAACCCAGAUGAAUGGUUGACCCUACAGAUUAAUUACAGACAUGAACAUUGAAAACAUGUUUUUAUUAACACCAUUUGUAUUUAUAGAAAAGCAUUGUUUAAAAUUCCAUUUAUUAAAUUAUUGAACUAUUCCAUGUAACUAUUAUUAAUAUUUUUUGCUGAACAUCUCACAUCUUUCAUGACUGAAAGCAUUCAUCCAUUCGAGUUUGAAUUAGGCAAUUUGAUGUUUGUUUUAAUUUAUUUAAACUAGAGUUUGAUUUACACAGUUUUAAUAAA
Molecule: long non-coding RNA, 884 nt
Organism: Asterias rubens (European starfish)
Lineage: Eukaryota; Metazoa; Echinodermata; Asteroidea; Forcipulatida; Asteriidae
Exons: 4
Source: RefSeq, a predicted model, not a curated record